Molecule: non-coding RNA, 48 nt
Organism: Schistosoma margrebowiei
Lineage: Eukaryota; Metazoa; Platyhelminthes; Trematoda; Strigeidida; Schistosomatidae
Source: Rfam
AUCCAGCUGACAUGUCGCAAAUGGGACGAAACGUGCGUCAAACUGGAU